Molecule: non-coding RNA, 83 nt
Organism: Pseudoalteromonas tunicata D2
Lineage: Bacteria; Pseudomonadati; Pseudomonadota; Gammaproteobacteria; Alteromonadales; Pseudoalteromonadaceae
Source: Rfam
GCCGUGGUGGUGGAAUUGGUAGACACGCCAUCUUGAGGGGGUGGUGAGCUAUGCUCGUGCGGGUUCAAGUCCCGCUCACGGCA